CAGCUGAGGAGUUAAUUAGAGCACUGCCAGGAGCAGGAAAGGGGGGCAGGAGGCUUGGAGGCUUGGGCUCCCUUUCCAUAGAGAUAGAAAUAGCUGGGCUCCUGGCGGAGGCGGAGAGCAGUACACACAGGAAUGGAGGUGCGAGCAGCCAGCGCCUGGGGCACAGGGUGGGGGUUGUCUUCUUGGGCUUGUCCCGUCAUUCUUGUUUGGGAGGGGGAAGGGGAAGGGGCAUGUGGUCUGUGGCCCGGAGGGGGCCUGUCCGAGGCCCUUCUUCUCCUUCCUGGGGCCUCCCCAUCUGUCUCCCAAGCCUGGCCUGCCCGGGCUCACGGGGGGCAUCACAACAGCCCCAGAGCCCUGGCCUCACCUUCCUGCCUCUAGCUUUCCAUGAGAAGCAGGCUAUGAAGGGGUGGGGUGGGGUUCCAGAGCUCAGGAUCAUUCUAGCAUUUCUAGGGGGUAGUCCCUGGUGGUGCUGGGCAGCUCCGUGCCUGACUCAUCUGAAAACACUUUAUAAAUAACCUGGCAGAGGGACGUGGGCUGUCCACCCCCGUACCCGCCACACUCUGUGAGCAGGUGGCAGCACCGAGGUCCUGAGGGCUUUUGAGAUGUCCAGGGCAGGGUUCUGGUCAGAAGCCAGGCCCAGGGGGAUGCCGGGAGGGAGUGUUGUCCACCUCUGGUGAAUGGCGCUGCGGGGGUUCUGGGCACCAUGGAGUCCUCCUCUCAGCUGUGAUGUUGUCAGCGCCACAACCUUCGAUGGGAGCAUUGGGGAUUUCUGGCUGGGCAAACUGAGCCACUAUGGACUAAAGUUGCUGGGAAACCUGGGAUGAGUCACUUCCCUUCUCUGGGAACCCUCAUUGGUAAAAUGAAAAGGUUGAACUAGGAAAUCCCACUGGGCCUGGAAGAAAUGUCAGUGUGGGAAGAUCUCUCUCAAGGCAUCACCAUAAAUCUUUUCCUGUUUUCCUCUUGAAAGACAAGAUUUGGAAAAGUCAGCCUCCACCUCCCAGCCG
Molecule: long non-coding RNA, 1004 nt
Filed under: Homo sapiens (human)
Lineage: Eukaryota; Metazoa; Chordata; Mammalia; Primates; Hominidae
Description: HSALNT0166835
Source: RNAcentral